CCUACGGGAGGCAGCAGUGAAGAAUAUUGGUCAAUGGACGAAAGUCUGAACCAGCCAAGUAGCGUGAAGGAUGACUGCCCUAUGGGUUGUAAACUUCUUUUAUAAAGGAAUAAAACGAGGCACGUGUGCCUUUUUGCAUGUACUUUAUGAAUAAGGAUCGGCUAACUCCGUGCCAGCAGCCGCGGUAAUACGGAGGAUCCGAGCGUUAUCCGGAUUUAUUGGGUUUAAAGGGCGCGUAGAUGGGUUGUUAAGUCAGUUGUGAAAGUUUGCGGCUCAACCGUAAAAUUGCAAUUGAUACUGGCAGUGUUGAGUACAGUUGAGGUAGGCGGAAUUCGUGGUGUAGCGGUGAAAUGCUUAG
This 358-nucleotide ribosomal RNA is filed under the name uncultured bacterium. RNAcentral describes it as "partial 16S ribosomal RNA". It matches the Rfam family "Bacterial small subunit ribosomal RNA", at positions 338 to 693 of the family's 1533-position model. The record is from RNAcentral.